AAAUUGAAGAGUUUGAUCAUGGCUCAGAUUGAACGCUGGCGGCAGGCCUAACACAUGCAAGUCGAACGGUAACAGGAAGCAGCUUGCUGCUUCGCUGACGAGUGGCGGACGGGUGAGUAAUGUCUGGGAAACUGCCUGAUGGAGGGGGAUAACUACUGGAAACGGUGGCUAAUACCGCAUAACGUCGCAAGACCAAAGAGGGGGACCUUCGGGCCUCUUGCCAUCAGAUGUGCCCAGAUGGGAUUAGCUUGUUGGUGAGGUAACGGCUCACCAAGGCGACGAUCCCUAGCUGGUCUGAGAGGAUGACCAGCCACACUGGAAC
Molecule: ribosomal RNA, 322 nt
Filed under: Salmonella enterica subsp. enterica serovar Infantis
Lineage: Bacteria; Pseudomonadati; Pseudomonadota; Gammaproteobacteria; Enterobacterales; Enterobacteriaceae
Also listed under: 5 other names
Description: bacterial SSU rRNA
Rfam family: Bacterial small subunit ribosomal RNA
Source: RNAcentral